Peromyscus maniculatus bairdii (prairie deer mouse) is the source of this 407-nucleotide non-coding RNA. The record is from RefSeq and is a predicted model, not a curated record. Lineage: Eukaryota; Metazoa; Chordata; Mammalia; Rodentia; Cricetidae.
UCUAGGGUCUCUGCUGAAGAUCCUGCUGGUCGGGACAACUGGCGCCCAGUGUGGGAAUCUGGGUUUGGAGGAGUGGUGAACGUCAUCACACACCAAGGCAGGCCUGCCUAAGUGUUGGACCACUGUGGAAGAUGGCUCCAUGAGUGAAGGUCAGGUCAGUGAUCGCCACAGAAACGCCUGGCCUUGAGACAGAUCCAGAGGAAUUUUAACAUGAUGACACAAGAUGCUGAUGAAGAAAAAACUGGGAGAAUUUCCUUGGAUAUUCUGGAUCAUGCUGCUGUCUGUACCUGCUCAUCAGGACCAGAGACUGGUCGACACACCCCCAUUUGCAUGGCGUUUUUAUUUGACUGAAAAUUGUAUAAUUAUGCUAAAACACAGACCUUUGGCCACCUAUUGGCUACCACUGA